This 479-nucleotide long non-coding RNA is filed under the name Marmota monax (woodchuck). Lineage: Eukaryota; Metazoa; Chordata; Mammalia; Rodentia; Sciuridae. The record is from RNAcentral.
CUGAGAGGCCAAUUAAAGUGCCCCAGGGUCAGUGUCCCAGAAAGCAGCCCUUGAGAGGGUGAUGAUGGAGAAAUUGCAGUGGAGAACCCUGAGAUUAAGAAAUGCCAGUAAUGUGGACUUCAUACCAAGAAAAGCUACAGGAAUUGAGUAGAGACAAACCAACAGAAAGGCCAUGUGGGCUGCAACCAGCAAAGUCAUAGGGGCGAAGGAAAACAAGUCCUUUGGAGAGAACUUCAUGGUGCCUUGUGCUCUGGAUGCUGGCCAUGGAACUAUAGGACUUGUUUACCCAGCUGGAUUUUGAUCUUGGUUUGGUCCCAUCCCUUCUUUUUUUUGGUCCUUAUUUCUCCCUUUUGGAACAGAAAUGUUUACUCUGCCUUUAUUUGUUGGGUAUAUAUAACUUGCUUUUGAGUUUUACAGGGGUUCAUGUUGAGAAUUUGCUUUGAGUCUCUUUGGAGGCUUUGGACUUGGACUUUUGGGCA